This 252-nucleotide ribosomal RNA is filed under the name uncultured bacterium. Its description in RNAcentral is "partial 16S ribosomal RNA". It matches the Rfam family "Bacterial small subunit ribosomal RNA", at positions 524 to 776 of the family's 1533-position model. RNAcentral also lists the same sequence under 1 other name. The record is from RNAcentral.
UACGUAGGUGGCGAGCGUUAUCCGGAAUGAUUGGGCGUAAAGGGUGCGUAGGCGGGCAUUUAAGCCGGCGGUCAAAUGUCGGGGCUCAACCCCGGCCUGCCGUCGGAACUGGGUGCCUUGAGUGGGCGAGAAGUAUGCGGAAUGCGUGGUGUAGCGGUGAAAUGCAUAGAUAUCACGCAGAACCCCGAUUGCGAAGGCAGCAUACCGGCGCCCGACUGACGCUGAGGCACGAAAGUGCGGGUAUCGAACAGG